Molecule: ribosomal RNA, 348 nt
Filed under: Triticum aestivum (bread wheat)
Lineage: Eukaryota; Viridiplantae; Streptophyta; Magnoliopsida; Poales; Poaceae
Description: partial small subunit ribosomal RNA
Source: RNAcentral
AUGCAGAAGCUCUUCAAGAUGACAGACCUCGGCUUGCUGAGUUACUAUCUUGGUAUAGAAGUGUCCCAAUUCAAGGAGGCAAUCACUUUGAGCCAGCGUGGGUAUGCUGAAAAGAUACUGGAGAUGGCGGGAAUGAGUGAAUGUAACUUGUCUCACACUCCCAUGGAAUGCAGACUGAAGUUGAAAAAGGAAGAUGAAGGGAAAUCUGUUGAUCCUUCACUCUACCACAGCGUGAUUGGAAGCUUGAGGUACUUGGUUCAUAUGAUACCAGACAUCACACAUGCUUUGGGUAUUGUCAGUAGGUUCAUGGAGAAGCCGACCAAGACACACUGGGCAGCAGUCAAGUAG